This is a non-coding RNA of Paramuricea clavata, 708 nucleotides long. Lineage: Eukaryota; Metazoa; Cnidaria; Anthozoa; Malacalcyonacea; Plexauridae. The record is from the annotation of a GenBank genome assembly.
AGUGAUCAUGACUUUGUUCAAGAACAAGAAGCAAGACUUCUGAUGAUAUGUAAAAGAACUUUAUCCUUAUCUGUUGGCAGGUAAAAACGAAUAGUUGCAAACUUUCCUCAACCUGUAUUCUUGUAACGGUUGUAUUAUUAUAAAUUAUGCUGACAUUUGAUUUACCGAUACGAUAAAGCAUGCAUACUGUUUGUCUAUUUCAUGUGUUUUGUAUAAUUGCACAAAUCUGCAUGGUUUAGUUGCCAAAUCAUUGUUUGCAAUUUCGCCUGAACCUAUAUGGACAAUUUUUAUUUGAUAAAACGAAGGAAAAUAUGACUAGAAAAGCCAGCAUUAGGGCAGCAUGUAUUUACUGGAAAUAUUGAUACAUGCGCAUGCGUAUUGAUGUUAUCGACCGAUAACCGAUCAGCCUUUCCGUCACGUUUUAGAUUAUCGGCUUCUACCAAUAAAGAACCGAUUAUCGGCUUAUUCAUGAAGUUAGCCAUGCAAAUCGCGGCGCAUGUAAUAUCUUCUCUCUUUAGAGGAAUGCUUACCCUGGCUACAUCUCGUCCGACGUUAACUGAACUUGUUCCCAUUCCUCCAUUGGAGAUUACUGGCCGCGCAUUACCCAGGUUAGUUUAUUUCAAUCAUAAACGGAAGUGUCAUAUUUGGUUGAGUCAAAAUCGAAGAAGAAGUGUUCUCAUUUGGAAUGAAGAGAAAUUAUAAUCAGGC